This 489-nucleotide ribosomal RNA is filed under the name Fusarium cerealis. RNAcentral describes it as "eukaryotic LSU rRNA". The stretch from base 136 to 289 matches the Rfam family "5.8S ribosomal RNA". Lineage: Eukaryota; Fungi; Ascomycota; Sordariomycetes; Hypocreales; Nectriaceae. The record is from RNAcentral.
ACUGCCCAGCCCUGCGACAGCCUAUAUGUUGCCUCCCCGCAUCAGCCCUCGCCCCGGAAAAGUGGGCGGCCCGCCGCACGAACCCUAAACUCUGUUUUUAUUGGAACUUCUGAGUAUAAAAAACAAAUAAAUCAAAACUUUCAACAACGGAUCUCUUGGUUCUGGCAUCGAUGAAGAACGCAGCAAAAUGCGAUAAGUAAUGUGAAUUGCAGAAUUCAGUGAAUCAUCGAAUCUUUGAACGCACAUUGCGCCCGCCAGUAUUCUGGCGGGCAUGCCUGUUCGAGCGUCAUUUCAACCCUCAAGCCCAGCUUGGUGUUGGGAGCUGCAGUCCUGCUGCACUCCCCAAAUACAUUGGCGGUCACGUCGAGCUUCCAUAGCGUAGUAAUUUACAUAUCGUUACUGGUAAUCGUCGCGGCCACGCCGUUAAACCCCAACUUCUGAAUGUUGACCUCGGAUCAGGUAGGAAUACCCGCUGAACUUAAGCAUAUC